Molecule: long non-coding RNA, 303 nt
Organism: Hypomesus transpacificus
Lineage: Eukaryota; Metazoa; Chordata; Actinopteri; Osmeriformes; Osmeridae
Exons: 3
Source: RefSeq, a predicted model, not a curated record
ACCAGGUCACAGUCAGACGUUUUCCUCAGUUCUCACUGGAUAGCAUCAACACCCCAAAGAGAAGCCAUGAAGCCAGUGAUCGUGCUGUUCGUUGUGCUGAUGAUGAUUGCACUGGUGUGCAAUGUUUAUGCUGCAUGUGAGAAUGGAAGAUGUGCUGAGACAUGUAGUGGUAAUGAAUCUAAAGACAGCAAUUCAUACUGUGGGGGUGGAAAUAUAUGCUGUGUUGAAAAAGAUGUAGGAUCGUUAAUUGACGGCUGGUGAAGAACAUCCGUAAAGGAAGAUGUGUAUCAAGCAACAUGCAUU